UAAGAGUAGUUCACUACUUAUCA
This 23-nucleotide microRNA is filed under the name Caenorhabditis elegans. RNAcentral's name for it is "Cel-Mir-252-P1_3p* (star (passenger))". Lineage: Eukaryota; Metazoa; Nematoda; Chromadorea; Rhabditida; Rhabditidae. The record is from RNAcentral.